Molecule: long non-coding RNA, 441 nt
Filed under: Carica papaya (papaya)
Lineage: Eukaryota; Viridiplantae; Streptophyta; Magnoliopsida; Brassicales; Caricaceae
Description: long non-coding RNA (CPAP_LNC002983)
Source: RNAcentral
GUUUUUCUAAUGUAUGACUAGAAAUUCUAAGGAGCCAUUAGCAGAAUCUUAUCCGAAACCUGAAUGAACUUUUCAUUCAAGAAGAAGAGCAAACUAUAAACUCAACAUACGCAUGUCACCUUGCGUGUAAACAGGAGCCGCACACUGUGCGUGUGCCGUUUGUGCAAUAGGCCUGCGCGGAUAGGCCCCUAUGCACCUGGGGCCUGCGUACAGUAGACCUACACACGUGGCAGGUGGCCUGUACAUCUGCAGUGCAUCGCUGUCGCCUCGAGCGACGCACUGCCGUCGCCAGCAAAGGAGGCCUUUUUCUCUCAUUUUUCCUACCGAGCAUCUUUCUCCCUCUCUUUUCACUAGAUUUCACCACUUGGCACAAAUCCAACGGUUUAAAUUUUCUAUAAAUAGGUCUUCCCUUCCCACUCUUCUCCACACUUUUAUUUUUCU